Molecule: unclassified non-coding RNA, 231 nt
Filed under: plant metagenome
Description: partial contains small subunit ribosomal RNA, internal transcribed spacer 1, and 5.8S ribosomal RNA
Source: RNAcentral
UUUCCGUAGGUGAACCUGCGGAGGGAUCAUUAAAGAGAUCAUGCCCUCACGGGUCGACCUCCCACCCUUUGUUUACAAUACCUUUGUUGCUUUGGCGGGCCCGUUUGGCCCCGCGCUGAACAACCGGCCCCGGCUGGUCAGUGCCCGCCAGAGAACCGAAAACUCUGAAUUAAAUGUCGUAUGAGUACUAUGUAAUAGUUAAAACUUUCAACAACGGAUCUCUUGGUUCUG